CCACUGCAAGAGUAAACAUAGUAACUUUAAAAAUAGCAAAUGUAUUAACGUUGACACAUUGACAAAAAAAAAAAAGUGUCAAUGAAACAAUUGAAUCAAUGAAAAUAACUCGAUUUAACUAGCUGAUCAAAUAUAUAACAAUGGUAAUGACCAUUAAAACUGUUGAUAAAGUAUUUGAAAAGUUUACAGGGAUCAAAAGUCAUGAACGGGACUGCUGUGUAUUUA
This is a non-coding RNA of Pelobates cultripes (western spadefoot toad), 225 nucleotides long. The record is from the annotation of a GenBank genome assembly. Lineage: Eukaryota; Metazoa; Chordata; Amphibia; Anura; Pelobatidae.